This is a non-coding RNA of Pelobates cultripes (western spadefoot toad), 229 nucleotides long. The record is from the annotation of a GenBank genome assembly. NCBI's taxonomy places the organism in Eukaryota, Metazoa, Chordata, Amphibia, Anura, Pelobatidae.
GUCAGUGGUCGUUUCUUCUAAAAGGGAAAAACAAAAAAUAGUUUUGGUUUAUUUGGGUUUCGUCCAUGCAGCGUUUCAGUUUGGACAAAUUUAAUUCACGUAGUCAUUUCUGGAAAAUCUCAGCACAGUUGCUCCACCUCCCUCGCUGAGAUCAUCAAGAAUGAUAAUUUCAGCCAAUCCUUUGCUUACCCAUAGGGAAGCAUUAGGAGGUUAGCACCUUUAGUGGUCC